RNAcentral lists this ribosomal RNA (406 nucleotides) under uncultured bacterium. Its description in RNAcentral is "partial 16S ribosomal RNA". It matches the Rfam family "Bacterial small subunit ribosomal RNA", at positions 30 to 526 of the family's 1533-position model. The record is from RNAcentral.
AUUGAACGCUGGCGGCAGGCCUAACACAUGCAAGUCGAACGAGUGGCGGACGGGUGAGUAAUGUAUGGGAAACUGCCUGAUGGAGGGGGAUAACUACUGGAAACGGUAGCUAAUACCGCAUACCAUCAGAGGUGCCGAGAUGGGAGUAGCUAGUUGGUGGGGUAACGGCUCACCAAGGCGACGAUCCCUAGCUGGUCUGAGAGGAUGACCAGCCACACUGGAACUGAGACACGGCCCAGACUCCUACGGGAGGCAGCAGUGGGGAAUAUUGCACAAUGGGCGCAAGCCUGAUGCAGCCAUGCCGCGUGUAUGAAGAAGGCCUUCGGGUUGUAAAGUACUUUUAGCGGGGAAGCGUUAUCUGCAGAAGAAGCACCGGCUAACUCCGUGCCAGCAGCCGCGGUAAUAC